This is a long non-coding RNA of Piliocolobus tephrosceles (Ugandan red Colobus), 2815 nucleotides long. Lineage: Eukaryota; Metazoa; Chordata; Mammalia; Primates; Cercopithecidae. The record is from Ensembl.
UUGUGGUAUAGGAUCUAUAAAAGAAAAAUUGUUAAUACAUAAAAUUAAUUCUUAUUCAUUUAAUACUACUAGUUAUACAUGUGAUUGGUAUGAUAUAUUUCAAGAAUUAUUUUUUAAGAAAUCUAAUUUAUAUUCAAGAUUUUAUAACACCACACUAAUCCAUCAUGAACAUAAUGUACCAUGUGUUAAAUUUUCUCCAGAUUGUAAUUUUCUUUUAUCUUGUUCAAUUGACAAAAGUGUAGUUUUGUGGAAUAUUAUGAAUGUAGAAAAUCAUCGUUUGGAUAAUGAGUUUGAUAUAUAUGGUCAUAUUUUUAAUCCUAAUAAAAAAAGUGUAUUUAAAAAUGGUAGUGGUAGUCAUUAUUUUACUGCAAAGUGUAACAAUAAUGAAUCUCGUGAUGAUUGUACAACAUGGUCCUCUAUUUUUAAACCACAAAUAAAUUAUUUAAGCAAAAAAAAUAUAUUCGAUAAAACGUAUCAUGAAACAAAACUGUAUCAAACUAAAAAAGAUAAGGAAAUACUUUGUAAUAUAAAUAAACAUAAUAUAUUGUGUAAACAUAAACUAGAAUACAUGGGUUGGAGUUGUGAUUUUGUUAUAAAAAAAUAUAUUUCCAAAUUUGAUCCUUUAGUUGAAUUAUUUUAUAAACAUGCAUCCACUUUUGUUUAUACUGAACCAGUUUAUAAUUACGCUUCAUUUUUCCCUUUUUUUGGAAAAUUUAUAUUAAGACAUUAUUUUAGUCAAUUUUGUGAAAAGUAUUCUUUGUUUCAAUUAUUUAUAUUAUCUUUCUUGAAUUUGCAGAAUACAACUAAUUAUGUCUACAAAAGUUAUAGCAAUGGUAGUAGUUGUAUUGGUGGUAGUAAAAAGAAGAAUAGGGUUGAUAGUGACGAAUAUACAGAACGAACAAACUGGAUCUCCUAUUUACACUCACUGGGCAUAAAAAAGAAUCAACUUUUAAAAGAUUGUACUCUCAAUAAUUUAAUAAAAAUUUUAUUAACACAAGAAAAAAACAAAAUUGAUGGAAAAUAUUGGAAAGACAAAAAAAAACUAAAACAAGUUUAUUCCAGUAUGAAAUAUGUUACACAUAAUUUACUAAAAAGAUAUUUUAUAUUAUAUCCAAAAACCAGUCCUAAAUGUAAUGAGAUUCAAAAAGACAUAUUAAAAGAAACGGAUUGUAAGGCCAAUAUGUGUAUUAUCACUGACUACGAACUGGAUUACAUUAAUAGUGGUGAUUAUAUUUAUAAAAAUUUUAAAGGAAAAAAAAAAAAAAAAAGGUUAGAUUACUUAAUGCCUUCGGUUAAUAUUUUUUCUGAUCGACCUGUAACGGAAAAAAAAAAGAUAGGGUUAGAAUUGGACUCAAGAAAGCAGUUUGAAUCGAAUCCAAGGAAGCAAUUCGAAUCGAAUCCAAGAAAGCAAUUCGAAUCGAAUCCAAGAAAGCAGUUCGAAUCGAAUCCAAGGAAGCAAUUCGAAUCGAAUCCAAGGAAGCAAUUCGAAUCGAAUCCAAGGAAGCAAUUCGAAUCGAAUCCAAGAAAGCAACUUGAAUCGAAUCCAAGAAAGCAAUUCGAAUCGAAUCCAAGAAAGCAAUUCGAAUCGAACCCAAGAAAGCAACUUGAAUCGAACCCAAGAAAGCAAUUCGAAUCGAUGUUUAAAGGACAAGGGCAAGAGGAGAACAAAUUAAAUAAUUCAAAUGAAAGUGUGCCACAUAUUAACCUGUGCAACGACAGUGAAGAAUUAAACUUCAUAACAGACUAUACUUCCGAUGCAUCAAAAGAAAUCCAUUACAUUACAAAAAACUAUCCAUACCAAAGAAAAAAACACAAGUAUAUGAAUCCUUAUUUUAAACAUAUUGAUAAAAAUAAUAAUGAGUUUGACGAAGAUUAUUUAAAAAAAAUAGAAUAUGAACAAUCUUUAUUAUAUAAAUAUACAAACAAAUUAAAAAAUGAAAAUAGUUUAAUAUUUUUAUCAUGUCGGUUAGAACCAAAAAAUAAUAACUAUAGUAAAAAAUUAUUAAUCUUAUUUGAAAAGAAAAUAAAACAAUUUGUAGACAUGCAAAAUUUCAAAAGUAUAUAUUAUCAUAUAAAAAAUAAAAUAUUAACUAGAUAUAUAAAUACGUAUAAAGCACUGAAACCGACUUUAUUUUUUAAUUUUCACAUAUCAGGAAGUUAUGACGAAUCAAAAAUAUUAAACGAACUUUUGCUUAAUUAUUCAGUGUAUUUUGCUGACCAAGGGAGUAUCAGUACUUGUAGUGAUAGUGGUAGUAGUAGUAGUAGUAGUAGUAGUAGUGGUCGUAACAAACGGAGCAGUCAAAACAAUAAGCGUGUUAAUAAGCGUGUUAAUAAGCGUGCUAAUAAGCAUGCUAAUAAGCAUUUUAUGUCAUACUUAAAAUUAUUAAAAAAAGAACAAUUGUUAAAAGAUGAUUGUAACAAGAGUAAGCAAAAUGGUAAGCAAAGGGAUGAUUGUUCCUCUAGUAGUCGUCCCAAUGACAGCAAGUAUGGCAAUUGUAAUAAUGACGUUAUAAACAAAGGGUAUACAAUCAUAUUAAAAAAUAACAUUGCCAACUUUCAUAAUGUCAUACAUGACAUAAUAAACAUUUCUCAUGAAAAUAAAAUUAUUAACCAUCACAGAUAUUUUCAAACAAACAAUAUUUAUAAAUCUAGAAAUAAAAAAGUGAAAGGUGAUAAGGACAAGGCAUAUUCAAAACAUGUAAAAAAGGGACGAGUACAAGAAGGUAUGAAACGGGAUAGUGUUGGUGGUACCAGCUGUAGUAAUAGUAGUAACAAAAAGCAGUAUGUUCAAAACGAAUUAUUUGAACGAUAUUUU